GACGAACCGUGCAAACGUUGUUCGGAAUCACUGGGCUUAAAGGGCGCGUAGGCGGCUUGCCAAGUCAGGGGUGAAAUCUUUCGGCUUAACCGGAAAAGUGCCUCUGAUACUGGCGAGCUAGAGGGAGGUAGGGGCAUGUGGAACUUCCGGUGGAGCGGUGAAAUGCGUUGAUAUCGGAAGGAACGCCGGAGGCGAAAGCGGCCCGCUGGACCUCUUCUGACGCUGAGGCGCGAAAGCCAGGGGAGCGAACGGG
RNAcentral lists this ribosomal RNA (253 nucleotides) under uncultured bacterium. Its description in RNAcentral is "partial 16S ribosomal RNA". It matches the Rfam family "Bacterial small subunit ribosomal RNA", at positions 524 to 776 of the family's 1533-position model. The record is from RNAcentral.